This is a long non-coding RNA of Passer domesticus (house sparrow), 8814 nucleotides long. RefSeq lists it as uncharacterized. The transcript has 3 exons. Lineage: Eukaryota; Metazoa; Chordata; Aves; Passeriformes; Passeridae. The record is from RefSeq and is a predicted model, not a curated record.
GCCUCGAGGAACCUAGUUGUUAAGGAGAGACAGGAAUACGCCAGUAAUUUAAUUUUUCAUGCAAAACUCUGCUAGGAAGUACCAGACUUUCCAAAAUGUAUUCCAAAGAAAUGCAGAGAUAGAUUCCCGACCGGCAUUAAUCAGUGCUGAUUAAGUCAUGAAGCUACCCAAUUUCUGCCUGGUGUUUGAGGCUUUAGGUUUUGGAAGAUACCAGGGCUAGGACUGCACUAGGAGUGUGUCCCUGUCCCUACAACCUGCCACUGUCAGGAAAAGCAGUUUACUGCAGCAGAGGUGGAGCUGCCUCUACAGUGAUACAAGGAGGUAGGGUUAGCACAAGACAAGUAACAACACGUUGCACUAAUGGUGCAGAGGUUUGAGAGAAUGUGCCCAGGCUCCUGGGAAAUGGACAUUGUCACAUGUGGCUCGUUAGCACAAUGAAGCUGUGACCUAGCAAAUAUUUACAUGCACUUAAGUGCACAUUUGAAAGGGCUAAAUAUACACCUGCUCCCUGCUUCAGCUGCCAGACAUCCCUAGACUCUGCAUUUGGUGCAAAUGUCUGACUCAAAAACAUAUGCUGCAGUUUUGCUGAAGAUGUAGGUGGAUUUUUAUAAUGGUUUGGUGCUGUUAUUGUAAAAGGAAGCUUUUUUUUUUGAGUCUUCUCUCAACAUGUCAUAGAGUAUCCAACCAGCAUCCUGAGCAAUGCUUGACUGGAGAGACUUAGGAGAAUUUUUGGCUUCUCCUCCUUUCCAGCUUCCUCUCUUCUUCUGCAGAGCCAGGUACAUUGGAAAUACUGCUUGUGACCAUCAGGAGAGCAAGAAGUUCCUCUUCCCCUGCCAUGAGCUCCACUGCAGCCUGAGCAUCUCUGCCUGUGGAUCAGUUCCACCACAAGACAGCAGCCCCAAAGAGCCUCACCUGGUCUCCUAAAUGGGAGUCUCUGGGGACAAUCAGCCCUGGAAUCUCAGGAAGAAGUGAUUUUACAGCUCCUGCCUGGCUGCCAUGCCAGCCCUGCCUCUCCUGCCAUGGGAGCACUUUCCACCCUCACUGACAUCACUGCUCUGCUGAGCACCCAGCCACCACCUCCUCUCCUCCCCUCUCUCUCAGCACAUUGCCACCCAAACUCACUGAGGAGCUUCAGCAUUUUUUAUUCUCUGGUGGGAAAUUUCAUUUGAUUCUUUCAAGCGGGACAAGAACAGACAGCAGGUAAAAACUACAUUAAGGUGUUUUAUCUCUCUGUAAGUCUUAUAGAUCUCCUUGAUGCAGGAUGGGACAGCAAGUUAGAACACCAGAUACCUCAGGUUGUAAUUAAAUUCUAAGACCACCAUUGCCCCAGUGAAUAGUGACUACUUUAUGCACUUAUUUAGAAAGAUGAAGAGGUAGACAGAAAAAUAAUAUCAUAGAUGGAUUGGUAGGUGGAUAGAUUUCAGCCAGAAAUUGAGUUAAAUUUGCACUUAUUUUUCUGUGUGAUAAGGUCACACAGCUACUAAAAAAGUAUUUUCUAAAAUUUAAGGUAAAAAUUCAACCCUCUCAAGAAGGAAUUCAGACUUGGCAAAGGAAACUGAAAGGAACCCUAAAUCCCACAUAACAGUCAUCUGACAUCACACAGCAACUGCACAUGGUAGUAAUGACAAUAGGGCAUCUAUUAACUAGAGAAAACCCUGAUGAAAUUUGUGGGCUUACAGCCAGUCAAUCCUGCAAAAACAGCAAGUGUUAGCCCUCAUGCCAUGCACAUGGGAGCAGGAUUGGAAAGGACCAGCAAAUGCUUUGCAGGCUCACCAAGGUGGCCCAGGCACUGGGUCAAGUCUGAGCUAAGAGUUAAAGAGAGCAUGACCAUCCCUGAAUUUCUGCCCUGUGGCAGUGCCCAGCACAGCUGGUGAGUGCCAGAGCCCCACAAGGCAGCUUUAACUGCUGCCAGUUGGACUUUCCUUGGAAACACUGAGAGCCCAGUCCUGCUGGAGCACAGUUUGUGUUGGCUUCCCUCUCCCCAUGGCCCUUGCUCAGGAAAUGGAGCAGGCACCAGGCAGGCUCCACAUGCUUCAUGGCACUGGGUGUCUGCAGAGAAAUGUGGAGCUCCUGGGCAGAGGGAGCUUCCCUGGCUCCUUUUUGAAGCCUUGCAUUCCUGUACAGAGUCAUAAUUACACUGGACCUGCAACAACCAUUAGGAUUAACUACUAAUUUAUUCCUAGCACCUUGUGCCUUUGUGAAAUCUCAGAAACUUAAUUUACAUCCUUACAUAUCCAAGCAACAGAUUCCUACUUAGAAUAAACCAUGGUUUCUAUAUUCUAAGCAACAAGAACAUGUGCAUGACUUGAUUUACAGGUUUUUUCCUAAUCCUAGAUUAUCUUCAAGAUCUUGAGAGCUGUUACAAAAUUCAGAUGAAGAGUGCAGAACUCACCCUCUAGGUGCAAAGCCACGGGUCACCUGCCCCAGGACACUAGAGAUGCCUUUCUCACCUUGCUGGAUUCCACAUGCAGAGCUCCAGGUGCAUCAUUGAGGCUCUAAGUUUGAGGUUCAGAGCACUUCUGUGGACAAGUGGUGCCAUUCAGCAAAGCCUGCAGCAAAACCAUGGAAAUUUGUCAUUGACUUCUGCACAACUCAGCAUUUUCUUUGCACUAAUGAAUGAAGUAAAUGUUCAGCUGAUUACUUCAUGCAGCUUCUACUCCCAAUAUUAAACCAUUGCUUCAUUCUCUAUUCCUGUGCCCUUACCAAAUAGUAGUAGAUUAUUUUAUGGGAUAACCUCAUUUUCCUUCCUUUCUUCCGGUGCCUUUCUAAGGCAGACCUGGAGCUGGCAGAUAAAAAAAAAAGGCACAACCAACGAGCUAGACCUCAUUAGAGCAUAAAGGGAUUUUAGGCUCCUUCCUCAUCCCAAGUGGAUUUGGCAGUUUCCUUUUAUUCUUUAACAUUGUAUUAUUUACACAGCUGCUCCACUAACUUUUUCUUGUUAUGUGCUUAUUUAUUUCUUCCUAUUUUUUAAAAUUUUAAAUUUUUCCCUUCAGAUUUUAGAACAGCAUCAAUUUAUUUUUACCACUUAAAAAAAUAAUUUGCUUGUAAUUAAACCUGCAAAUCUAAUACUGCCUAAAUGUAAGAGUGACCUGUUUACGAGGGGGACAGAGGGGCAGGUUUUGAAAGCUGAACCACAUCAUUUCACGAUCCAUAAUCAGUUUUUAGGGGUUUUCUAUUAUUAUUUCAAGGACCAGGUGUCUGAAAAGGUAUCAUUUUUCUCACCAGCUUUUGCUAGAUGUUUUAAAAAAGGUAUUAAUGCAGCUGUACAGGUUAUAGCUGAGCGUGUGACUGCCCGCUGGAUUUACACGCACAAUUACCCCAAAAGCACACAACCCUCCAGACUCACACAUGCAAAAAGCCUCUUGGCUGGAAAACUCUUGGCAUGGAUGCUCCAUUUCCAUAUGCAGUCACACUGAAUAUGCAUAUACAUUAGGUUCAGGAGCACACAUACAUUUUUCAAACAGGAGGCCUUGGUGUGAACCUAAAGAAGAAAAGACAAAUGCUGCAAAAAAGGGGUUUAGGUCAAAAUCAGUGAGCAAGGAUGAAUCUGCUGGGUUGUACUCAUGUGCCAAGGACCAAUGUACAUCAUUUUCUGCAAUUAAAUAUUCAAAAAGAUGUAUAGUUUUAGGAUUUUUUUCUUUAUGCCUUUAAAUCCUUUGAAAAUUUAUAAUCUUUAAUUUUCACUUUUAAAUUCUAAUAGAUGAAAACCAGCCCAAUGUAAAUUUUGUCCAAAAGAGACAACUCAACAGCAAAAAAAAGUGUUUCUGAGUAUUAACAUGUUUGAAAAUCAGGCAACCAAAGACUAUAAAGAUAGACUUAGGUGUCUGAAUUUAGACACCUAUUUUUUAAAACCUUGGCUUUGAAAAUAAAGUAUCUGAAUGUAUAUAGAAAAUAUAAAUCACCAGCCACUUUUAUUACAUGUAUGUUUAUAUAAAGACCUUAGAACACAUUUUUAAAAUGUAAACGUUCCUUAGUAUGUUUAACUAUGUGUCUAAAGAAGAUGUAGGACAGAAAGAAAACAAAAUUUGACAAAUGUUUCUGAUCAAUCCUGAAGAAAUCAAUAGGAAUUCACUCACAGCAUGAUUUCAUUUAACUUUCCAUGCUAGGAAUAGUAACCUGGCUUUCUGUUAAAGUAAAAGCAUUCAUACUUCUUAGCGAUUUAAUUCUCAUGUCAACAUGUAUCAGGCAGGCAGAGAAUGGUUUGGAGACUGGGAGGGGAAAGAGGAAUGGAUGGAAACACACGGAAAUUAUGUGGACUGAGCUGUAUGGUUGGGUGACUUCAUUUCACCAAAACCAGUUUUUAAUAGAAAACGGGGUUUUCAUUGAGAUGCAUAUUUCCCUUUCCCUUUGAGGCAGCAGAAAGUGUCUGUUUCUCAAACCAUCUUUUAAUGUUUAUUUGAAAAAUAUCUAACACCCAAGAAUAGGAACAUCUUGGUGGGGGAAAGAGAGAAAAGCCAUUGAAUCCCGAGCACUGCAUCAGCUCCUUGGUGGGAGCCAGAGCUUGGCUGUCUGGGGUGCUUCCCAUCCCUGCAGCCACACACCCCACAGCACCCAGGAGUUUGGUGUCUCCAUCAUGCACACUCUCAGUGUGCCACUGUGACACAACAAGGAGAGGGGACAAGCCCAGACAACAAGACAAUGAAGAAGAGUUUGCAACCACAGCUCUUGUGAAUGAACUUGGGGGUUUUUUUGGCCAAAAGGACUUGAGUGAAGACAGCCGCUGCUUUCCACCUUCCCAAGCAAGGCAAAACUGUUGGCACUCCAAGCUCCUAUAUUGAACUUGCUUCUACUCCCUUAGCAGACCAGAACCUUGCAUGGUGUAUGGAAACCAAUGGAGCAUUCAAACCCAGAGAACAUCUGGUUUACAAUAUUUUCUUCUUGCUUUUUCAUGGUUGUGCUCCUGGAAGCAUAUUUGGGUCCACAAGUGUGGGUGUGCAUGUACGUCUGUUCUUAUUUAUUCUAAAUAAAAACUGUUUUCUGAAAGGGCAUUAUUCAUAGAGAGAUGAAAGAGCACUGUCCUUCUUAGAAGUCUGGUUCAAAACCUGAAGCUGACACUGGGUGCCAUAUUGGACUGAAGCAAAGUAUGGAAAUAGUGUUCUCCAAAUUCUGAGAGGAUCCUGGUUGAAAAGUUAUGGGCAAUGAAAAAGAUCCCAGCUCUGCUGCCUCACUGAAUCCCCAGUUAUAUAUAAAGCAGAUGUCAUCUUUGCAAUAUGCAAUACGUAGGCUAAGAAACUUUAUCAGCCACUGACAUCUGAGGGUGACAUUGCUUUGAAAUGCACCUUUCUAUCUGUGUACACACAAAAUUAUGUGUGCUCACACACACAUAGUCUAUGUGGCUUAAACACUAUGAUUUAUUAUGAUUUUUUCCAUCAGGAGCCAGAUUUGACUGACCAUAGAAUUAAUACAAAAAAAGAUAAAAAAUUGUUUUACUUUCAGGCUGAACUGCUGCAUGAAUCUGCAAACGGAAACACCACAAAAUCCAGUUUCAGUCCAACAAGCUGAAGAGGUUCUAUUAUUAUGAUCUUUAUUUUCAUUAUUUUUGUGGGCAAGGUAUGAAGCAAAAUAACUGUGUCUCUUUAGCUGCCUGAACAAUAGAAAAGUUUAUGCAGCUCUUGAGCUGAAAUGUUUUUGACAGUUUUCAAUUUUAGUUCUUUUGCUUUGGCAAGAAAUCUGGAAAAAUAUGAUUUUGAAAAUCACCAGUUUCAUGCUUUAUUCCUUUCUCAUAAUUAGACUAUAUUGUCCAACUCCUCUUCACUUACUGUGUCUGAGGGAAUCCUAGAAAAUAGCUGGGAAGAAUCAGUGCUGGGCUGUUGCUUAGAAACUGCCUGGGUUUCUAUAAUAUUGACUGAUGUAAUAGUUAUAUUGCCCACUUGCAUCUGUUAACAAGCAAUACAACAGAAUCCACAGGUACCAAUAAAGAAACAAACCUGGAAUUCAUUACUUCCCUUGAAAAUUCAUCAGUACUUUUUUCUAGCUUGGAAACAUGUUUUUCUUAGGUGCUAAUUAAUAAAAUAGGAGAAGUAUUGCCUCUACAUAUAUCUAUUUUAUUUGGAUUUAUAUAUUUUGCCCCAGGGAAAAGAUGUUGUUAAGAAUGUAACGUGUUAUUAUAAUGACAAUUUUGCAAUGCCAUAGAAUGGUAUGAGGUAUGAGCUGUGGUUCUGUGGGAUUUUCUUCACUGAGAGCUAUAGUGUGGCAAUAUGACCAUUUUCUUAAUGUGUUUUAAGGAGAAGUAAUAUGGGUGCCUUUGUAAAAUCAGUGGGACAGGACAUUUCUGGUGAGUGCCAUUAGUAAACUCUGAGCAAAGCCCAAGCAACAGAUGAACUGUCUUACCUUAGUUAUGUCAGCAUUCCCAAAUCCAGGGUUGUAAAAAGAGCAGAUGAAACAAUGAGAACAACAAGAUGGACUCCACAGCCACUCACGUGAAAAUGAUGUACUUCUAUAAAAAAAAAAAAAAAUUAACUUUUAAGGUACAAUAAUGAAAGCUUCUCUAUUAAGAAUAAGGACUACAAUUUCUCCAAAGAAAGUCAAGAUGCAAACUCACAUAAUUGCUGAUUCUGGGGUACGAGGAAAACACCUGAGAGUUAAAUUAACUGACAACACUUGCAGCCCAAGUCAUAGCAGCUCACUCUUCACCUGAAUGUGACCCAAAGCCCAGCACAGCCACUGGAUACACACCUGUUCAGUGCUGUGGACAGCCCUAUGGCCAAAUAAGAGAGACGUUUCACUUGUGUGCACUGUCCUUAGAGAACAUGCUCACUCCUCACUUGGGAGCUCCACACUGCCGUGGAUACAGCUCCUUUUGCAGGCUCUUGAUUGAAGUGCUUUUGCAAGCCCACCCCCAGCAACUGGCUUCCUGCAUUUUGAGGAGACAUAAUAAAAUGAUUGCAGCCCAACCCUCAGUUAUUAAGUGUGGGGGAAAGCACAGGAAGAGUUGUAGGGAAGAGGAGACUCCGUGACAGUUACUUUUUGUAAGUAAAUAUUACUCAAGGGAGCGCGGCUACUGCUUAGAUGGAUUACAUUUGGCUCUAUCUGGGGGCCUAGAUUUGUGAGGGAAAACAGUUUAAACUCCUGGUUUGCCAUUCCACUUGUUCUCAGCAGGCAGAGGAAUUGUGUUGGAGCACAGCAAAAGCUGAGGUUGUUCAGUGACAACAAACGCGGGGGCGGAUGCUCAUCGCCAGGCGUGGGGAUUUGGGAAUGCAACUCACAUUAGUGUUAAUGGGAGUUACACGCGUAAAUCCCUGCCCUUCAACAUGAUAAUACAUAAUAUACCCCUUAAUUUUUAAUUCACCAGGGUCUCAAUUUUAAAGCAUUUUCAUAUAGUUUGUCCUAAUUAUAAUCAUUUUUAAUGACAGCUUAAAAAUUUCACAUGACUGUCUUAUCACAUACGGUACUUAAUUUCUCAAGUGAACAGUUUCCAUGUGGUGUAUUCUGGGAAUUUUGAGAACUAAAACACUAAGGAAAAAACUACUUUGUAUAAUCAAAUGAGAUGUUAUUAUUCCACUAUGUUUUAUAUAAACUGGAACGGAGUUUCUCACAGUAAUGGUGACCAUUUUGAAAAGUACUUAAAACUGAGACAAUUUUUUGUUUUGGAAUGUUAUUGGCUUAACCUCAAUCUCAUGGACCAGGGCUUUUGGUCUACCUCUCAUGGCCAGUAUUAGUGUAAAUCAGUAGAUAAUUAUUAGUAGGUUAUUAUUAGUUAGUACAGGCUUUGGGGAGAUUUCAGCCUAUAAGUAAUUUUUCAUUUUCUCUAGGACUUGAUAAACUCUGAAUAUACUGAUACACUAUUUUUAUAUUAAUAUCACUAUUUUUAUCACUAUCUUUAUAUUAAUAUAUUAUAUGUAUAUUUGCAUUAUAUGUUAUCUCAUUCUACAAUAAUAUACCUAUAUAUUAUUAUACUAUUAUACAGUAUAUAAUGACUGUAUUACUAAUACAUUAAUCUAUUAAUUAUUAUAUUGACAUGCAGCAGGCAAGCACUCACACAUUGAAUCAAAAGGACAAACAGCCAAGUUUAGAGUACAGCCACACACCUAAAUCAGACGUUGGCCUUGCCUUCAGCAUCUCAACAGGCAGGAAAACCAAUAAUUACUGGAGUAACUGGUUCUGCAUCACAUACAUAACAGAGGACAAUGUGCCGUGAGCCCAGCAUCCAGAAACGUGCCAAGGACCUGCCUCACCAUUCCAUGUGCCCCACAAAGCAUCCCUGUACCAGCCUAUUGGAACCAACCACAACAGCCACGGACACAGAAUUUCACCAGCAACUGCUGCAUGUCCCGUUUGAAGCACUUCCUGCUCUCCAUCCAGGCCUUUUGAGUUCUCUUAUUUCAGUUUCUUCAACUAAUGGCUUUCUAGUUUGCCUUCAUGUUGAGUAAACCAAGUUCUGUUUUAUUUUUAGCUCUUCACUUUCAGAGGGAGCAAUAUAUUUUUUACUACUUACAGGUAUAGAAAGGGCCACUGCCAGAAAACACAUGAUGAAAUAGCAGGCAAAGAUUUCAAAACCCACCUAAGUGACUUAAAAACAUACGUGCUAUUUUCAAGUGAUGGAGGGCUUUGACACCAAGUACCAUGUUUAGCAAUAGAUUUUUAAAAAUAAUUACCUACCUAUGGAGAGCACAUAUGACUUUAAAAAAAAUUCUCAACAAUUAGCAUUAGUAAUUAAUAAUAUUUUAAAUGUUUGAUUUCAGCUGUGCUCAAGAAGUCAUUUGUUUAGUCAGGGGAGAAAACACUCCUGUAUGCCCUGAGGUUACUAGAUUUCUUUGGACAUCUUCAUUCUGAACAAUUUAGGAGUGCAAAUAGGACUUGGGCUUUUGUCAUGAG